GGAAGCGUGGCCGAGCGGUUGAAGGCACCGGUCUUGAAAACCGGCGACGGGGCGACCCGUUCGUGAGUUCGAAUCUCACCGCUUCCGCCA
RNAcentral lists this transfer RNA (90 nucleotides) under Rubrivivax sp. Its description in RNAcentral is "tRNA-Ser". It matches the Rfam family "tRNA". Rfam says of the family: Transfer RNA (tRNA) molecules are approximately 80 nucleotides in length. Their secondary structure includes four short double-helical elements and three loops (D, anti-codon, and T loops). Lineage: Bacteria; Pseudomonadati; Pseudomonadota; Betaproteobacteria; Burkholderiales; Sphaerotilaceae. RNAcentral also lists the same sequence under 2 other names. The record is from RNAcentral.